AUGCUCGCUUCAGCAGCAUAUAUACAAAAUUGGAAUGACACAGUGAAGAUUGGCAUGCUCCCUGUGCAAGGAUGACAGGAAAAUUCAUGAAGUGUUUCAUAUUUUA
Gorilla gorilla gorilla (western lowland gorilla) is the source of this 106-nucleotide small nuclear RNA. Lineage: Eukaryota; Metazoa; Chordata; Mammalia; Primates; Hominidae. The record is from Ensembl.